GACGAACGCUGGCGGCGUGCUUAACAUAUGCAAGUCGAACGAUGAAGCCUAGCUUGCUAGGUGGAUUAGUGGCGAACGGGUGAGUAAUACGUGAGUAACCUACCUUUAACUCUGGGAUAAGCCUGGGAAACUGGGUCUAAUACCGGAUACGACCAAUCUCCGCAUGGGGUGUUGGUGGAAAGCGUUAUGUAGUGGUUAUAGAUGGGCUCACGGCCUAUCAGCUUGUUGGUGAGGUAACGGCUCACCAAGGCGACGACGGGUAGCCGGCCUGAGAGGGUGACCGGCCACACUGGGACUGAGACACGGCCCAGACUCCUACGGGAGGCAGCAGUGGGGAAUAUUGCACAAUGGGCGCAAGCCUGAUGCAGCGACGCCGCGUGAGGGAUGACGGCCUUCGGGUUGUAAACCUCUGUUAGCAGGGAAGAAGAGAGAUUGACGGUACCUGCAGAGAAAGCGCCGGCUAACUACGUGCCAGCAGCCGCGGUAAUACGUAGGGCGCGAGCGUUGUCCGGAAUUAUUGGGCGUAAAGAGCUUGUAGGCGGUUUGUCGCGUCUGCUGUGAAAGGCCGGAGCUUAACUCCGUGUAUUGCAGUGGGUACGGGCAGACUAGAGUGCAGUAGGGGAGACUGGAAUUCCUGGUGUAGCGGUGGAAUGCGCAGAUAUCAGGAGGAACACCGAUGGCGAAGGCAGGUCUCUGGGCUGUAACUGACGCUGAGAAGCGAAAGCAUGGGGAGCGAACAGG
RNAcentral lists this ribosomal RNA (741 nucleotides) under Rothia mucilaginosa. Its description in RNAcentral is "bacterial SSU rRNA". It matches the Rfam family "Bacterial small subunit ribosomal RNA", at positions 28 to 776 of the family's 1533-position model. The record is from RNAcentral. Lineage: Bacteria; Bacillati; Actinomycetota; Actinomycetes; Micrococcales; Micrococcaceae.